AUCACACUAGCAUAUUAUUUAUGUCUGAUAUGCCUAAUUUAGUAAGAGGUUGCGAGCGUUGAGGAAUAUGUCAUGCAAUAUGACACCUCAGGACAUAAUGUUCAGUGUAUUGUUCUGUCAACUGACAGAAAUUGCCUAAAUUUAAUUACUGAUGGUGCUUCAAGGGGAAAAGGAUGGCGCUAGUUAGUGUACAUGGAAAGUGUUGCUUCCUUGUUUUGUCCGGAAGGUUUGCUUUGAUCAUCUAUCUUGUGCCUGCAAAUCAUGAUCUGCUUUCAUCUAUUGAAACCACAAUAUUUGGGAAACCUACAGCUAUAUGCCUUUUGGCCAGAAAUCCUAUUAGCUGAAUAAUUUGCACUUACUGCAUAAUAUAGUCGCACCCAGCUUGUGGUUAACCAAUCACGUUUCAUGUUUGCUGUUACAGACUAUUCUUUUCUUGCCGAUCUUUUGCUUGCCAAGAUGGACACUAGUCUUGAUUUUCUAUUUUUGUUCCAUUAAAUGGAAAACCUUUCAUUUUUGUUUUUGUUUUAGUGGUUUUAAUGUUCAAACUUUGAAUCUCAAAUGAAGCUUAUCAUACACUAAUGAAGCUUAUAUCUUUUCGGAGUUAUGAAUCGGGUCCUAAUUUGUUUAUACAUGAUGACAAUGUUGAUGCUAGACCUAUGUAACGAUGGGAUCCAACACGUUAUGAUUUUCAGUGGGGGCUGAAAAUCAGGUUGGGAUGACAUGGCCUUUUGUAGUGGUUUCCAUGAUGCUCUCUCUUCAACUUGUAACUCGUUUCCAUUUGUUUUCUACCAGGGUUGUAUGGUAGGUUUUGUUAUCUCCUUUUUGUGAGGAUUCUGGUCACAAUUUUACUCUCAUGAUUACCUCUUGGACAUUUUUUUUUUCUCUCACAUUCUUUGCCCGAUAUUUGUAUAUUGGCCAAAUUUUGUUCACCCUCCCUUUGAAAGAACAAGAUGCUAAUCCUUAUUUACUGUUGGACCAGCAAAUCUCGACACCAAGAUGUUCCAACAUAUGAAUGACUUAAAUUAUUUCAUUGCGGUGACACUUUAGAUGUACUGUUGGAUGUAUAUAUAGCUGAAAACUCAAAAAG
Molecule: long non-coding RNA, 1087 nt
Filed under: Eucalyptus grandis
Lineage: Eukaryota; Viridiplantae; Streptophyta; Magnoliopsida; Myrtales; Myrtaceae
Description: long non-coding RNA (EGRA_LNC006498)
Source: RNAcentral